Long non-coding RNA from Condylura cristata (star-nosed mole), 1515 nucleotides. RefSeq lists it as uncharacterized. Lineage: Eukaryota; Metazoa; Chordata; Mammalia; Eulipotyphla; Talpidae. The transcript has 3 exons. The record is from RefSeq and is a predicted model, not a curated record.
UGAACUGGGUUGAAAAGCUUUUACACAAUUGUAAGUAAUGGAACUGGCUGAACCCAGUGAACCUCGUUAAAAUGCCAUGGGUUGAGUGUUUAUGUUUCAUGUUCAUGAUGUCUGAAUGUUUAAAUUCACACACAAAAAUGUAAGUACUGAGCUGCAGUAACUUGCAUGCCUGGGCCACUGUUUCAGGACGCAGUGCGUGAUGGUGACAGCAGUGUUGACAGGACAUGCUGGCUCUGAAGUCCAUGGACCCUGCUCCCCUCAAUGUGGUUUGGCUUUUCUCCUGUCCAGUUCGUCUUCGAGGAAGUCUUCACCCCCGGCACACACACCUUACGCUGCAGCCUGACUGAAGGCCUGGAGUGUCAGCCGGCGUUUGACUUCUGUUUGGAGUUUGAAUCAUAGAUGUUAACGUUUUGCCCCGAAAGGCAAAAGGACAUGCUUAACCUCUGUGAUGGCAAGUUCUUCCAGUUUACCAUCCCUAAGGACUACGCUUAGGCUACCGCGUACUGGCAGAUCUUCUGGGACAUAAUCUGUUGUUCCCUGGCUCUGACUAACUCAUCCUUCCACUUCGCUAGACAUGGACAAGCGUCCUCCAGAUCCUCCCUUCAAAAAAUGGACUUGCUGCCCAGCUGUUGGGAGCCAGAAGACAGCUGCCAGCUCCUUCAAGGUCAGAAUUGCCUCAUCCCAUUUCAUGGGCUUUCUGGGAUGGCCGUGCCCAGUGACUGAACAAGGCGGGGCAACAGGCCAGUCUCUGCUGCCCACCUGGGGACACGAGCAGUGAAGACCCACUCCGGACCCUGGGCCAGGUUGGUGGGGCUUUGACGGAUCUGCACUGCAGCUUAACUUCUUCCUGUGCACAACCUGCUUCCUUCCCCUUUUCUGCAUAGGUGUCCAACUUAAUAAACAUCACGUGCCCCUAACUGUCACAGUGUCUGCUUCCUGGAACCCAUCUGAAAGAAUCGCCCACCUGUAAGAAUGGCCCACCUGAAAGAAUCGCCCUUGCUCCUCUUGCAGUUUUUCUAGGAUGUCAGUUUGUACCGUGUCCACUAAGUAGGAAGCUCAUUUCCCCAAAUUCCAUCCCCCGUGUGGUUCCAAGUUUGGGUUAGCUGAGGGGCGUCUGUAAUAUUUGUGAGUUAGACACUGCGCGGUAGCUGUUUCCAUGCUCUGAAGGUUGCUGGAAGCCAGGUCUGCUGCAGCUGGCCUGCUGUCAUGAACAUGGUCACGCACAUGGGGCUCACUUUGUUGACAGCUGCCCAGGGCUUCUCCACUCCUUCUGAUUCCCCUUCUUCAGCUUUUCUGGGGUCUGGGGUAGAGACGCGCAGCUCUAGGAUAGGAGUGCCUGCUCUUUGGGAAGGCCACGUCAUGGACUGGCGGCCAAGGGAACAGAUGUGCGUUUCAUGUUGUCCUGUGGGCUCCAUCUUGUCCUCCCUCCUCAGUUCCAUCCUUUCUUCUCGAACACCCAUCUGCCACCUUGGACCCGACACCAGACAUUGAGGUAAUAGUCUUGUGGAGAUUGUA